Molecule: long non-coding RNA, 1578 nt
Organism: Marmota monax (woodchuck)
Lineage: Eukaryota; Metazoa; Chordata; Mammalia; Rodentia; Sciuridae
Exons: 3
Source: RefSeq, a predicted model, not a curated record
AGUCAGCGGAAGCAGGUCUGUCCAGGACGUGGCCUGGCGUGGCGAGCUGGAGACACGUGCCAGGCCCCGGGCCGGGGUCUGGAGGCUGCUCAGAACAUCGGCUCUGACCCCCACAUGGGGACGGCUCUGAGCGGACAGAGGCCUCCCCGCAGCCUCGCCCCAGCCGCCCCUGCCACCUCCCCGGCCACCUCCCAGCCUGGCUCCCCGAGCUUCCCUUUCCCCGCCCAGGUAGCCGCUGCCCCUCCAGCCCUGCUCCAGGCUGGCUCCUCCUCGCCCGCGCUGGGGGAAGUGCCGAGUCCUGGCCAGCCGGAUCCCCCGUGGCUCUCCACGGCACCCGGCACCCGCCCUCAGGAACUCCUGCUCCCCACCUCUGUCACGUCAAGGGCUGCGGCUGGCACCUCUCAACUGUCGAGAAGAAGCAAGCUUCCAAGGGUCAAAGGGCAGAGCUCCGAUGGUGGAAGGCUAGGCCACUGGACCGGCGUCUCCUGGGCAGGGGGUAGCUCCCCCUACGGCUCUGCCUGCGGCUGACCGUCCCGCACCCGGGGUCUGGCCUGUGUUAAACACUCAUUGGAAGAGGCAUUUGUCUCAGUUCUGAGUUAGGAGGGAAAUCAGAACGCUGUGUCUCCCCAGGCCAGAGUGGACACUCUAGUUACGUCAGCAGGACCCUUGGUUCAAAAGACCCGUCCAUGGUCCUGUCCUCUGGUCGGCCAGGGAUGCCGGCACGGCCCUCCCACCCCUGCUGGGCCCAUCUUGAGUGGACCACGGCUGAAUCAGGUGACAUCUGAGGACACUCGAGGCCCUGCCAGUUCAGAAGUCCGUGAGUAGUUGAGGGAACUGGAGGAUUUGGAAAAGUGCGCAGACACUGUGACCAGGCCUCAGCCUGGGUCCUUGGUGGAGCGUUUUGCCAGCUCUGGACCUUGGUUUUCCCAUCCAGAAAGCAAGCCUUGGCCUCGGUGGUCUCUGCCAUCCCCUUCAGCUCUGAAAACCUAGGACUUUGGGGAGGCUGAGGCAGGAGGAUCACAAGUUCAAGUGUGUUCAAUCCUCAGCAAGUUAGCGAGGCCCUGGGCAACUUAGUGAGACCGUCUCUAAAUAAAAGUAAAAACAGCUGGCGCUGGGGCUCAGUGGGAAGGUGCCCCUGGUUCAAUCCCCAGGACCAAAAAAGAGAAAAAGAAAGAAAGAAAAGAAAAUCUAGGACUCCUCCCUGGUAAGACCAAGGGAAAACAAGGCCCGUGGUGUGGAGAACCCGGGGGAGGGGGAGGGGGACAGCAAGGUGAUUCUCCGAGGUUCCGUUUAGACACGACCCAGGGGGCAACUCAGGGACUGGGUCUGGUGAAAGGUAAUGAGCCUCCGAAUCAGAAAUCAAUGACCGAGGUCAUAGCUAUGGUUUUUGGUUUAGGAAAACAAGAAGAAUCAGUAGCCGAGACUCUAACAGGUGGGACUCUGACAUGUGGAAUGAGUGGUGGGACACAUGGGUGGGAGCCCCGGUGGCUGGAGAGAUGGGUGAUGGCCAGGUAGAGAUGGGGAAGGACAGGGACGUUCCAGAGGGCGUUGGGUGGGCAGUGGGCACCCGUGUUUUGA